GUUCUGGAAAAUCCUUUCCAGCUUCCCACUGGGCUCCUUUUCAGGCUGCAUGGCCGGCAUCCGGCAUCCUAUUUGGACCGUGUGCCUUAGCUUCUGACCGUGGAGAUGGAGAGAUCAGACCCCCUCUAUUGUCUAAAGGCCUCCAAGUUUUUCCACUAUCCAGCUCUGCUUCUGUAAGAAUCCAGGAGUUGUUUGAUUCUUCGAGGAUCUCAACUUGUGAUUGAUUCAUUGGUACUCAGACUGAAGUAUGUUCUAGGAUGACAACUCAGCUGUUUCUGGAAAAAUUACAACCUUGGCCAGGACGUUCCAAAUAAGUUAAAACAAUCUCUACAUCUGAGGGAGACAGCCUUUUACGAUGGGCUCUUCCUGUAUUACCCAGGUUGACCCUCCUGCCUCAGACUCCUGAGAAGCUGGCAUUAGGGUGUGCACCACCAUUCCCAUCUGAAAAAGAACCCACUGGGGAGACACGUUGAAACCAGGAGCUCAUGGCUGAAGACUACAUGGCUAGAGACAAGUAAGGGGCUGAGGACAGAGCAGAGAAGAAACAUUGAGGGAGAAGUAAAUGAGGGGAGAGAAGAAGAAACUGAGGAGGCCGUGAGCCUGGAUGCUGCAUGGGGGAGUGAAGAAUUUGAAUUGCUGGGAUGGCCAAGAAGUGUUUGGAGUCCAGCAUCACUCACUGGGGACAUGAUGACGUUUGUUCUGCAGCAGGGAAUGUCUUCCUAGCAUGACUGGCAGUGGAGAAUGUCUGUCUUUUACUGGAAAACCCAACUCCUACAUGAAUAUGCGAUCUGGCUCUGGGGCCUCAAGAAGAAAAUCACAAUAAUACUUUUUCUAUCAUCUUCAUUUGAUGGCAUUAUCCUUGGUAACUUGAUAUAAUUUUUUUUUUGGUACCGGGGAUCAAACUUGGGACCUUGCACUUGCGAGGCAGGUGCCAGAACCACUGAGCUAAAUCCCUGGCCCAACUUGAUAUAAUUUUUAUAAAAUAAAUUUACUUCUCUAUUUCUUCUACUUGACAAUAUGUCUUGUACUUUAUUCCAUGUAAGUACAGGUCCACUUCAUUCUUUUCAACAGUUAUGUUAUUGUGAUAUAUUAUAAUUUGUUGAUGAACAUUUUGGCCAUUUAAAAAUAGUGUAAAAACUAUUUCAAAAAUGCUUUAAGAGAUAAUGUGAGUGCAGUGAGUAUUGUUAACAUUUGCCAGGCAAUACUUUUUAAAUUGCUGUUAAAUAUAUGUAACAAAAUUUACAUUUUCAACACAUUUUAGCUUACAGUUUUGUGUAUUAAAUGCUUUCUUACUGUUGCACAACCAUCAUCACCAUCUGUCUUCAGAAUUUUUUUUUCUUCCAUGACUAGAACUUUGUGCUCAUUAAAACACUAAUUCCUCAUUUCUCUUUCAUGCCAGCUCUUGAAAUUCUCCUACUUUGUGUCUCUAUGAAUUUGGC
Molecule: long non-coding RNA, 1439 nt
Filed under: Heterocephalus glaber (naked mole-rat)
Lineage: Eukaryota; Metazoa; Chordata; Mammalia; Rodentia; Bathyergidae
Description: lncRNA (ENSHGLG00100043423.1)
Source: RNAcentral